This 298-nucleotide long non-coding RNA is filed under the name Pan troglodytes (chimpanzee). Its description in RNAcentral is "long non-coding RNA NONPTRT008916". Lineage: Eukaryota; Metazoa; Chordata; Mammalia; Primates; Hominidae. The record is from RNAcentral.
UGGGUAUCAGGCAGAUUUCUGGGUGAGGCCCAGAGGAGCAUUUUUAUUCAUCCAUCCAUUCAACAAGGGACUAUGUCUUAUCCAACUUGUAUCCCUAGAGUAUAACACAACAUCUGCAUAUAAGACAGAAAGUCAGUGGAUUCAAAACGAUGAAAGUGGAUUCAAAACCUCUGUCAAGGGGUGCUGUCCUUUCCUGGCCAAGUCUCUUUUAUUCUCUUAGGGCUGCAACCUCUUCACCUGGGAAAUGAAUGGUCCUGUGAUUUACAAGAGCAGGGUCCAGGCUGAAGGUGCAGGCCCU